UACGUAGGGUGCGAGCGUUGCCCGGAUUUAUUGGGCGUAAAGGGCGCGUAGGCGGUCACGCACGUCCGUUGUGAAAUCGCUCGGCUCAACUGGGCGGGGUCAGCGGAUACGGCGUGGCUGGAGCAAGCUAGGGGGCAAUGGAAUUCCCGGUGUAGUGGUGGAAUGCGCAGAUAUCAGGAGGAACACCAAUUGCGAAGGCAGCUCGCUGGGACGUUACUGACGCUGAGACGCGAAAGCGUGGGGAGCAAACAGG
This 253-nucleotide ribosomal RNA is filed under the name uncultured bacterium. RNAcentral's name for it is "partial 16S ribosomal RNA". It matches the Rfam family "Bacterial small subunit ribosomal RNA", at positions 524 to 776 of the family's 1533-position model. The record is from RNAcentral.